UAUACAAUCGUGUUGAUGACUUCCUAAACGUCCACUCGUUGACAAUAUACUCAAACCUACUGCCUUAUAGUCAUAAUGUAGUUUUAGAUGCCGAAAUAUAUGAAACAGUGUAUGACGGUAUAAAGUAUAUACUGCUGGUAUAGUUAGUGCACAACAAAGAAAAAGUAAGUCUCACAUGUAACGAAGGUCACAUUGUUCUUGUCUUUUAUUCUAUCAAUUUCGUAGCACCCCUGGUCCUCCGGUUCGUCAGACACCACAGA
Molecule: ribosomal RNA, 260 nt
Filed under: Triticum aestivum (bread wheat)
Lineage: Eukaryota; Viridiplantae; Streptophyta; Magnoliopsida; Poales; Poaceae
Description: partial small subunit ribosomal RNA
Source: RNAcentral